Chelonoidis abingdonii (Abingdon island giant tortoise) is the source of this 108-nucleotide ribosomal RNA. The record is from Ensembl. Lineage: Eukaryota; Metazoa; Chordata; Testudines; Testudinidae.
UUUUGUUUUCCCUUUAAGGUCUUGUCAGAUCUCACAAGCUAAGCAGGGUCAGGCCCAGUCAGUAACUGGAUGGCAGACCUCCCCAGCUAACACUAGGUGCUGCAGGAA